Long non-coding RNA from Triticum aestivum (bread wheat), 1573 nucleotides. RefSeq lists it as uncharacterized. NCBI's taxonomy places the organism in Eukaryota, Viridiplantae, Streptophyta, Magnoliopsida, Poales, Poaceae. The transcript is spliced from 6 exons. The record is from RefSeq and is a predicted model, not a curated record.
CCAAACGCGGUUUUUUUCAAUAGUACAAUGGUCAACAACGUCCACAGAUCAAAAUCCGAGACCAAGAGAAGCAUCAAAAGAAAAAUCUCCACACGCGCAAAAAAUAAAUAAUAAAUCUCCACGCUCAUGGCCAUGUAAAAGCUUUGGUAGGCCAUUGAGAGAACCAGUUUGCAGGAUGUGAACAACACCCGUGACCAAACCAUGGACAAAAGACUGUCGUGGUUGUAGGAUGUGAAGAGCACCCUGCACCUGUGAGUCCAUGACCAAACCAUGGACAAAAGACUGCCAACUGCCGUGGUUGCAGGAAGUGAAGAGCACCCGUGAGCCGUGACCAUACCAUCUUCUUCUCUGAGCCGCCCACACCAAAGAAAGAGAGACAGAGCUCCCCUUCACCUCAGUUAAGAUGAGCAGCGUCAGGUUGGAAAAAUGGAGAACGGCGGUGCAGCGCAGCGCGGAGAUUUCAUCGACCACCCAAAGUUCUCAGCGGUAGAUGUGGCAACAGGUGAAGUACCCAUGGAUCCCAUAUUCUCCAGAACCAAUAGCCAGAUACCUUCAGAUCACCCGUCAAUCGACGUGGAUCUUGUUGAAGACGAGAACGAUAGCAGACCAGCGACGCAGACCAUGCCGGGAAAUGAUGGAUGGAUAAGACGGCAGAGAGCCAUGUGUUGCGUGGAGGUGGAUUUAUUCACCAUGAAUACGUAAGGAACAUUUUUGUUGGCAAUCAUAUAUCACACACGACGUCAACAGAUGUCCAAUGAUAGUAUUACCAGUGGCACACAAUCAUUCCUGGUUCACAUUAAUUUUUAACUUCCCAAGGAGAAGGACAACAAUCCUCGAUCCGAUGAUAAACAACGGAAACAGACUGGUAGAUGAAAUCCGCAAUGAGCAUAUCAAGUUAGCCGACGAGCUGCCUAGCGCACAAAUGGAUUGUAUUGCAGAAUUCUUCGAUGGAUGGGCACCAAAGACAAAAGGAUGGCAGAAUUGGUUCCCCAAACUGACAACUGGACCUUGGGUCUGCAGCAGGGCUUCUAGCGGUGUACUAGCAUUUUACUUCGCAAGGCAGUGUAUGGGUACAAAAUUACAGAGGACUCUAUCGCCUCUAGGGGAUGAAAUCGACCAAUAUCGGAUGAUGCUUCUCUAUGAAGUUCUUGGGUUAGACGGUAACAUCGGCCAGCUACCUGCUAAAUUUAAUUUAUGCCAGAAUGAACCUUGAAGAGAGGAAGCAACUGUUUGCUUUAAUAUAACAUAACACGAAAGCGAUGAUGAUAUCUAAACUACUAGAAAUAAUUCGUGCAAUCGAGGAGAUCCUAGAUGGCACACACUGUAUCUUUAUUCACCAUCAACAUUUAUGUCUUUUAUAUUUCUAGAAUAAGGAAUUGUAAUGUGCUUGUCACAUCACUAGGAGAUGAUUUUAUUUAAGACUUCCAGACCGUAUGAAGAACCAUUUAAAUUUUAUGAAAUGACUUUUGGGACCAGCCUCUACAUGAUUCUUAUAUAGUCUAAGAUUAUGCAUAACUACUGAACACUGUGUACUAAAUAACAGGAGAAACAAAACGGCAACAAGAGCAUAAAU